Molecule: ribosomal RNA, 492 nt
Filed under: uncultured bacterium
Lineage: Bacteria
Description: partial 16S ribosomal RNA
Rfam family: Bacterial small subunit ribosomal RNA
Source: RNAcentral
AGUGAACGCUGGCGGUAGGCCUAACACAUGCAAGUCGAACGGCAGCACAGUAAGAGCUUGCUCUUACGGGUGGCGAGUGGCGGACGGGUGAGGAAUACAUCGGAAUCUACUUUUUCGUGGGGGAUAACGUAGGGAAACUUACGCUAAUACCGCAUACGACCUACGGGUGAAAGGAGGGGAUCUUCUGACCUUGCGCGAUUGAAUGAGCCGAUGUCGGAUUAGCUAGUUGGCGGGGUAAAGGCCCACCAAGGCGACGAUCCGUAGCUGGUCUGAGAGGAUGAUCAGCCACACUGGAACUGAGACACGGUCCAGACUCCUACGGGAGGCACCAGUGGGGAAUAUUGGACAACGGGCGGAAGCCUGAUCCAGCCGUACCGCGUGGGUGAAGAAGGCCUUCGGGUUGUAAAGCCCUUUUGUUGGGAAAGAAAAGCAGCAGGUUAAUACCCCGCUGUUCUGACGGUACCCAAAGAAUAAGCACCGGCUAACUUCGUG